RNAcentral lists this ribosomal RNA (253 nucleotides) under uncultured bacterium. Its description in RNAcentral is "partial 16S ribosomal RNA". It matches the Rfam family "Bacterial small subunit ribosomal RNA", at positions 524 to 776 of the family's 1533-position model. The record is from RNAcentral.
UACAGAGGGGGCAAGCGUUAUUCGGAAUUAUUGGGCGUAAAGGGCGCGUAGGCGGCUUGGCAAGUGGAAGGUGAAAUCCCUCGGCUUAACCGAGGAACUGCCCUCCAAACUGCUCCGCUUGAGACCGGGAGAGAUGAGUGGAAUUCCCAGUGUAGCGGUGAAAUGCGUAGAUAUUGGGAGGAACACCAGUGGCGAAGGCGGCUCACUGGACCGGUACUGACGCUGAUGCGCGAAAGCUGGGGGAGCAAACAGG